This 22-nucleotide non-coding RNA is filed under the name Arabidopsis thaliana (thale cress). Lineage: Eukaryota; Viridiplantae; Streptophyta; Magnoliopsida; Brassicales; Brassicaceae. The record is from RNAcentral.
AACCGCAACGCAUUGUUUGGUU